Molecule: ribosomal RNA, 301 nt
Filed under: uncultured bacterium
Lineage: Bacteria
Description: partial 16S ribosomal RNA
Rfam family: Bacterial small subunit ribosomal RNA
Source: RNAcentral
CAGUCGCCACGGUAAUACGAGGGGGGCAAGCGUUGUUCGGAAUUAUUGGGCGUAAAGGGUGCGUAGGCGGUUUGGCAAGUUUGGUGUGAAAUCUUCGGGCUCAACUCGAAGUCUGCAUCGAAAACUGCCGGGCUUGAGUAUGGUAGAGGGUGGUGGAAUUUCCUGUGUAGCGGUGAAAUGCGUAGAUAUAGGAAGGAACAUCAGUGGCGAAGGCGACCACCUGGACUGAUACUGACACUGAGGUGCGAAAGCGUGGGGAGCAAACAGGAUUAGAUACCCCAGUAGUCCCUGUCUCUUAUAC